GGUCUCAUGGCCUAAUGGAUAGGGCAUUGCUCUUCGGGACCAAAGAUUGUGGGUCUGAAUCCCACCGAGAGGGGAUUCG
This 79-nucleotide transfer RNA is filed under the name Perkinsus olseni. Its description in RNAcentral is "tRNA-Arg". The stretch from base 3 to 70 matches the Rfam family "tRNA". From Rfam's summary of the family: Transfer RNA (tRNA) molecules are approximately 80 nucleotides in length. Their secondary structure includes four short double-helical elements and three loops (D, anti-codon, and T loops). Further hydrogen bonds mediate the characteristic L-shaped molecular structure. tRNAs have two regions of fundamental functional importance: the anti-codon, which is responsible for specific mRNA codon recognition, and the 3' end, to which the tRNAs corresponding amino acid is attached (by aminoacyl-tRNA synthetases). tRNAs cope with the degeneracy of the genetic code in two manners: having more than one tRNA (with a specific anti-codon) for a particular amino acid; and 'wobble' base-pairing, i.e. permitting non-standard base-pairing at the 3rd anti-codon position. Lineage: Eukaryota; Perkinsozoa; Perkinsida; Perkinsidae. The record is from RNAcentral.